CUGGGAUUCCUUCAAAUAAUUCAAAGAGCUGGGACUUCGCCAUCAUAAAUCUAACAUUCUUACCUGCCAAAAAUCUCUGUGGCGGUGUCCUAGGCAAGCCAGUGAGCAGAGUCACGAGAAUAGAUAAGCUUUUGCCCGCUGGGUUUGCGGCGUUCUUCUCACUUCCUUCCCACCCGUCCCAGCCUUUGGUCAUCGUCGAAGGCAUUCUCCUGGGUUCCCUGCCACCAGCUUCUCCAGACCUCGGCCUAAACGUUCAGUUGCAAAAAGAUCUUAAAGCCCCGUCUCCAUGGUUUCCAUGCACCCAGAAGGAUCUUUCUGGCCGCAUCCGAGCCCCAGGGUGGUGGCAGAGCCCACUUCCAGCCUCCUCCUUCCUGCCCGCCCCAGACCAUCCCCCGCUCCCUGCCGCUGAGCCCACCUCCUUCACCACCGGCCCUCUGGCCCCUGCUCUGCCAGGACUCAUCCCUCCCGCCUCCCUCCUCAUCCGUCCAGGGCCAGCCCCUCCUGCGGGACUCAGCUCACCGCCUGCGGGAAGCGCUCCAAAAUGGCCAUUUGAGCUUUCGCUUGUUGUGUUCAGUGCCCUUGGGUCCAGGGACCUGCAGCUUAAACAUCUCCCGAGGGAAAAAUGUCUGGUUUUCUCUCCGCCCGUGGGCCAGGCAGUCGCCUGCUGUGCAGAGCAGAGGAGGAAAUGGGGGCAGCGGGGGAAGAGUUUGACCUCUUCUUAAACAGCUUUCCAAGGAUGGUCUUCGACCCCCACGUCCAACGGCACAUGGGGCUGCCCUUCGCGAGGCUUUGGGGGUUCUGGGGUGCACCCUGGGCUUCCCCUUUCUCGCUCAGAUUUAGCAACGAGCUUCCCACAUCUGUCAAGUCAAUUACUCUGCGCCCGUGGCUGCGUCUUCCAAAGUGUGGCUGCAACUGACGCCUCUCUCUCUUUCUUUAUCCUCACAGUCAUCUGCCUUCCUGUCUUCCGAGCGAGCGCUCUUCUGUGCUGUUGAUGGAUUUUGUGAGCCUGGAUCCAACCUGCCUUUAACCAGAACCCCAAGGGACCGCCGGCCCUUUGCUGCGGAGUGCUUUCUGCCCUGAGUGAAUCUGGCCGCCCGGUCACUGUGGCUGCGGCCGUGGAGGGUGUGUCUCUGGACAGACAUGGACAUGGCUCUUGACUGAUGGCCUGAGUGGCUUUGCUGCCUGAGGUGUGGAGUGGUCACAGGUGGUGGGGGAAGGAGGCCACACAGAGUUGGGACUUAACCGGAAGACCACAGGGAGCUACCAGAAGGUUCCAGCAGAGGAAUGGUUCCCUUUUUGGAAGGACGUCUCUGCUCGCUGAGUGCAAAGGGAAUGGCUGGGGUGGGGUCGAGGGCGCGUCGGGAAGCCCAGUCCCCAGCAGGGCCUGGAGGGCCCAGAGGCUUGCGUGGGGUCAUGCAGGAUCCAUGAGGUCAUCGGCGGGUAGGACCGCUGAGAUCGGAGAGGGAGUCACUCAGAAGAAGGAGGUCCAGGAAUCUGGGCUGUGGGCCCGUUUCCAGCUCAGGCAUCCAUGCAGUGACCUGUCCCGAGACGGGAACCCUGGGACAGUUCCCAGGACUUGUGCAUCUUCCCUGCUUCGGAAAAGCAGCAACGAGCAAGACCUCACUGCUGAUCCCUUCUGAAUGUACCAGCUGGCAUCCGCCACCCCAGACUCCCGUCCACCCCACUCCCUCCCCCUCCUCCUUGGCAACCACGAGUUUGUUUCUGUGCUGUAGACAGGUUCAUUUGUGCCAUAUUUUAGAUUCCACAUAUAAGUGAUCUUGUAAGGUAUUUGUCUUUCUCUUUUCCAACUUAAUUUCGUUUAGUAUGAGACUCUCUAGCUGCAUCCAUGUUGCUGCAAAUGGCAUUAUUUCAUUCUUUUUAUGGCUGAGUAAUAUUCCAUUGUGUAUCUGUACCACAUCCUGGAAGAUAAUAUGAGAAAAAUCGUGCAUAUAUAUGUAUGACUGGGUCAUUUUGCUGUACAGCACAGAUUGAGAGAAUACUGUAAUCAACUACACUUUAAAUUUUUUUAAAAAAACAGUAUAGCACAGCAAAAAAAAAAAAAAAAAAAAAAAAAAAAAAAAAAAAAAANAGGCUAGAAGAUGGCCCUUCCCAGAAACUCCACUUUGCAGACCUGAGGAAGGCGCGGGCACUCCCCAGAUCCUCAGCCCUUUCUCAGCACCACCCGCCGCCCGCCUGCCGCCCAGCUCCUCAGGCCAAAGUCCAUGGCACCCAAGACUCGCCCCAGCUACACGUGGGGACUUCAGCUGUCACUCGCCAGCCCUCCCUGCCCUGUGCUUACACACAGGCGUACCCCAGGCGUCGUGGCAGCCUGCACCCCCACCAGGUCCCCUUCACUUCUGAGCCCUGCGUGCUCGCUGUUCCCCAGUCUCCCCUUCCCAGGACCCAGGACCCCUUCCAAGCCCAGCACAUCCUGGGCCGUCGGAGAGCCUUCUCUAGCUGGAGGCGGAGCAGGUGACUGUGUCCCUCGCUUUGAGGACACAAAUGACACGUUCAGGUAACAGCAAAUGGCGGCACCCACCCUCCUGCUGCACCCAGACGUCACCCGGCUCCUAAGGGCCAGACCAGCUCAGAAGCGGCGGCGGCACCUCCUUACAAGCGCUGAGCCCGACUCGGCGCCCAGAAGGAGCCGGGGCUGAAGCAGACACAGCCUCUGUGGGCUGGGAGGGAGCAGACACACAUCUAAACCACGACGGCCCAGAGUCGGCCCCCAUCCCUGCUGCUGCAGCCCGAACGUGUCUCCAAAUUCACACGCAGAAGUCCUAACACCGGCCACCGAAGAAGGCCAUGUAUUUGGUUAGGGGAGGUCCCUGGGGUGGGUGGCCCUCGUCCAGUCCGACUGGUUCCUUCUGAGAGAAGGACGCCAUACAGAGCGGGGACCCUGGGAGGACACAGCGGGAGGACGGCCAUCUGCAAGCCAAGGGCAAGGCCUCAGACAACCCGGGACUGCCAGCACCUUGACCUGGGACUGCCAGCCUCCAGACCUGGGAGGAAACAGAUUUCCGUGGUGUGUGGUGCCUUAUUCUGGCAGCCCGAGCAGAUGCCCACCAGGGCUGUGACACAAGGGCAAACGGUGCAGAGGGAGAAAUCGGUCCCCACAGAAGGGGCCAGUGCCGGGCCGCUUAGUGGGCUCCUGAGCAGGGGGUCUCAUCCGCCCUCAUCCAGCCUCCCUGGGGGAACUGGCCCUCUGGGGCGGGUGUUGGGAGGAUGAGCUAAGAUGGAGCCAGCACACAGAGCAAGCCCUCAGCCAAGGGGAGCUUCGGUGGAGGAGUUGGGGUCCUAAAAGCUGAGCACACAAAGGCAGGUGGGAUUGCAGGGGCCGUGAGGGAUGAAAGGGCUUUCCCAGCAGAGGGGACCCCGUGGCCAGGGCUCAGGGUUGCACUGCUCUGGGGGCAGGGGAGCCGGGGCCUCUGCAAGGGAACCCCCAGGACGCCAGACUGGACUUCAUUCCCAAGAAGGAGCAAACGAGCCCCAGGUUUGCAAGGCAAGGACGUGACAUCAGGGAAGGGACACCUGACUGGCUGCUGGGAGAGAGGUUGGCAGAGAGGACGGGAAUGCAGAGAGCCGGGUGCAGGCUUCUCCUGGCACUUCCGUCCACUCCUCUUAAAUAUUCAUUUCAGUGUUUGCAGGCACAAACAUCGCAGGAGCCCAGGCAGCCACUGCCUCCAGCACUUAAAAGAUUUCUGUAGAAGUGGUUCCUGGAAGGGAGAGUUAAUGCCUCUGCUCCCUGGCCCUGAAAUGGGUUUCUGAGAAGCGGGCCCCACGGUUGCGUGCUGGCUAUGGGUGUCCAGGCCCCUCGCACCUCCUGGGGGGGGGCGGUUGUGCUGCAACUCGGGAGCUCGGGGUUCCAAAGAGAGGAGGGUCCUUGGGGAGUUCGGCUAUCAUCGGCUAACGACUAAACAAACGUGCCUGCCACGUCCUGUCCAUCCACCCGUCAACACACUGCGUUUAACCUCUGGUCCAAAAGGCGGGCGUGAGCCUGGCCCUGUGCAGGAACGGAACCAGGCUGAGUCACAGCAUUACCAUCCCCCGGCCACGUGCCCACGUACCCACGUUGUCUGGGAAGCAGACGCGGGGAAGGUUGCAGGUGGCUGGGAUGUCACCCAAGCACCUCUCCUAGGUGAUGGACAAGGAAACGGAGACUCAGACAAGGAAUGUGCUCAAAGGCUUCUGGUUCGUUAAUGCCCAUCAAUGACCCUGGAACUCAGACCCCAGGACCCCCGUCCAGGGCGUCCUAACGCCAGCGCCCAGCGGGGAGGCCCUGCCCAACAGAAAUACAAUGCAGGCCACAGAGAUGCCUUUAAACUUUCAAGGCCACAUUUAAAACGUGAAACGAACCAUGAUAGUAGGUGGCAUCCAUCGUAUGCCACCUGCAUGGACCCCUGUACGCGUCUUUCCUUUUGUUGCCCAAGUUGUGCCCUGCUGGGGCUUGGCGGGGACUAGCGCAGGGAGCGGGGGUCAGGCCCCAAUAGCAUCCCGUUCAAGGAAAGCCCACAGGGCGCCAGGCCGUCAAACCAUACACUUUGCACAAAAUCUGCACGUCUCUUCAGAGCGUGAGGCUGAUAGAGAAAUGUCCCCAUAAUGGAAGUGUGGGCCGCGGUGGACAUUGUCGCCGCCUACGGCACACAGAGGACUUUUUAUCCAGGCACCCAUUGGCAGGGCGCUUCUAGCUGACACAGGAGUCCCGUGGGCCGCUGGAAUCCCAGCCAUCUCCUGAGUGGCUGCACGGGGGCGGCAGCGCCAAGUCCUGGGAGGAAUGUGGAGACGGGAGCUGGAGGGGCUGGUGCUCGUGCGGGGAGGCGGGGGGCCAGGAGCGCCCCCCCCCCCCAGAUGAGCAGCACCCAGCAGUGCGUGAUGGCUGGAAGCAAGAUCUUAAUUCUCUGCUCAGGAAUUGAACCUGGGCAGCCUGGGUGAAAACCAGGAACCCUAGCUACUAGCUAGAGGCUAAAAGUAGAACUGCCCUGAUUCUUACCCCUUGUUGAAAACAAGGAUGUUUCAAGGCGGCAAAGACUGUGAAAAUAGGUAUAAAGUU
RNAcentral lists this long non-coding RNA (5050 nucleotides) under Sus scrofa (pig). RNAcentral's name for it is "lncRNA (ENSSSCG00060077089.1)". The record is from RNAcentral. Lineage: Eukaryota; Metazoa; Chordata; Mammalia; Artiodactyla; Suidae.